This 66-nucleotide transfer RNA is filed under the name marine eukaryotic metagenome. It matches the Rfam family "tRNA". Rfam says of the family: Transfer RNA (tRNA) molecules are approximately 80 nucleotides in length. Their secondary structure includes four short double-helical elements and three loops (D, anti-codon, and T loops). The record is from RNAcentral.
GGCGUAGCUCAAUUGGUAGAGCAGCUGACUUGUAAUCAGCAGGUUAUCGGUUCAAGUCCGAUCGCC